Molecule: small nuclear RNA, 308 nt
Filed under: Chinchilla lanigera (long-tailed chinchilla)
Lineage: Eukaryota; Metazoa; Chordata; Mammalia; Rodentia; Chinchillidae
Description: 7SK RNA (ENSCLAG00000022104.1)
Rfam family: 7SK RNA
About the family: 7SK was discovered as an abundant small nuclear RNA in the mid-70s but a possible function has only recently been suggested. Two independent studies have found that 7SK RNA binds the CDK9/cyclin T complex (known as elongation factor P-TEFb).
Source: Rfam by way of RNAcentral
GGAUGUGAGGGCGAUCUGGCUGCGGCAUCUGUCACCCCACUGAUGGUCAGGGUUGAUUCGGCAGAUCUGGCGGGCUAGGCGGGUGUCCCCUUCAUCCCUCAAUGCUUCAUGUGCGUCCCUCCUGAAGGUGCAUGCUCAGUCAAAGAGGAUGACCACACCCGCAUAGACAGCCCUUCCUUGGUCAAGGGUAUGGGAGUAGCUGUGCUCCCCUGCUAGAAAAUCCAAACAAGCUCUCAAGAAAGGGGUUAUCAGAUGCAGCAAUGGAAAAGAAAGUGCUAAUGAGGAGAGUGAUUUUCUCAGAACACUGA